UUCUCCGGGCAACAGCGACUGGUGCGAAAAAAAAAUGCUCUUCGAGGUGCCAUAUUUACGUGAAAAGAUGAGUGACGUGGCCUGCUAAUCAGUUUCACCUGAGAAUCUUACGAGCGCUCAUGAAGGACAAAGUAGCAACCUCCUCCAGCUCGCAGUGAGGCAAGGGGAAGAUGAAGUUCUGCGACCUGUUAUGCUGUGAUUAAGUAUUAAAAUACUUUUGUUUGCAUAUUCUGUAUAUCUGACUUGUCACCUGUGUUUCUGAAGCCAAGUCACGUUUUUAAUUAUAGGCACUGUAAUGUCAAACCGGCAGCUCAAGGACAGCAGAGCAUCACAUAGAGGCCUGGCUGAGGCACGCCAAAGAACCUCAUGACAGGACAUCAACAAAAGAUGAGGGCUCGGAGUACUACACAGAACAGCGGCGACAGCUGGGCCAAUCCGUGCGAAACUAUUCAGGCCUAGCUUUGACUCUAGAUUUCACGAGAGAAAAAAAAAGUGCGUUCUCUGAGAGUGUGGUAGAUACACAUUUCUUUCCUCUGUAUAUUUGGCUGCAGACUGAGGGCUAUGCAGGUGUUGCCUUCAAAAUGAAAAGUGUUAUGCCAU
Ornithodoros turicata is the source of this 600-nucleotide long non-coding RNA. RefSeq lists it as uncharacterized. NCBI's taxonomy places the organism in Eukaryota, Metazoa, Arthropoda, Arachnida, Ixodida, Argasidae. The record is from RefSeq and is a predicted model, not a curated record. The transcript is spliced from 2 exons.